UGGGGGUGUAGCUCAGUGGCAGAGCGCAUGCCUCCAGAGUAUGAAGCCCUGGGUUCAAACCCCAGCACCACAU
Molecule: transfer RNA, 73 nt
Filed under: Erinaceus europaeus (western European hedgehog)
Lineage: Eukaryota; Metazoa; Chordata; Mammalia; Eulipotyphla; Erinaceidae
Description: tRNA-Trp (CCA) (tRNA-Trp-CCA-6-1)
Rfam family: tRNA
About the family: Transfer RNA (tRNA) molecules are approximately 80 nucleotides in length. Their secondary structure includes four short double-helical elements and three loops (D, anti-codon, and T loops). Further hydrogen bonds mediate the characteristic L-shaped molecular structure. tRNAs have two regions of fundamental functional importance: the anti-codon, which is responsible for specific mRNA codon recognition, and the 3' end, to which the tRNAs corresponding amino acid is attached (by aminoacyl-tRNA synthetases). tRNAs cope with the degeneracy of the genetic code in two manners: having more than one tRNA (with a specific anti-codon) for a particular amino acid; and 'wobble' base-pairing, i.e. permitting non-standard base-pairing at the 3rd anti-codon position.
Source: RNAcentral